CCUACGGGGGGCUGCAGUGGGGAAUAUUGGACAAUGGGCGAAAGCCUGAUCCAGCCAUGCCGCGUGUGUGAAGAAGGCCUUCGGGUUGUAAAGCACUUUCAGUGGGGAAGAAAGCCUUGGGGCUAAUACCCUCGAGGAAGGACAUCACCCACAGAAGAAGCACCGGCUAACUCCGUGCCAGCAGCCGCGGUAAUACGGAGGGUGCGAGCGUUAAUCGGAAUUACUGGGCGUAAAGCGCGCGUAGGCGGUCUGAUAAGCCGGUUGUGAAAGCCCCGGGCUCAACCUGGGAACGGCAUCCGGAACUGUCAGGCUAGAGUGCAGGAGAGGAAGGUAGAAUUCCCGGGGUAGCGGUGAAAUGCGUAGAGAUCGGGAGGAAUACCAGUGGCGAAGGCGGCCUUCUGGACUGACACUGACGCUGAGGUGCGAAAGCGUGGGUAGCAAACAGGAUUAGAUACCCCAGUAGUC
This 465-nucleotide ribosomal RNA is filed under the name Vreelandella stevensii. RNAcentral's name for it is "partial 16S ribosomal RNA". It matches the Rfam family "Bacterial small subunit ribosomal RNA", at positions 338 to 795 of the family's 1533-position model. The record is from RNAcentral. Lineage: Bacteria; Pseudomonadati; Pseudomonadota; Gammaproteobacteria; Oceanospirillales; Halomonadaceae.